RNAcentral lists this ribosomal RNA (398 nucleotides) under uncultured bacterium. RNAcentral's name for it is "bacterial SSU rRNA". It matches the Rfam family "Bacterial small subunit ribosomal RNA", at positions 361 to 776 of the family's 1533-position model. The record is from RNAcentral.
AUAUUGGACAAUGGGCGAAAGCCUGAUCCAGCCAUGCCGCGUGAGUGAUGAAGGCCUUAGGGUUGUAAAGCUCUUUCAGUGGGGAAGAUAAUGACGGUACCCACAGAAGAAGCCCCGGCUAACUGCGUGCCAGCAGCCGCGGUAAUACGAAGGGGGCUAGCGUUGUUCGGAUUUACUGGGCGUAAAGCGCACGUAGGCGGAUCGUUAAGUCGGGGGUGAAAUCCUGGAGCUCAACUCCAGAACUGCCUUCGAUACUGGCGAUCUUGAGUCCGAGAGAGGUGAGUGGAACUCCUAGUGUAGAGGUGGAAUUCGUAGAUAUUAGGAAGAACACCAGUGGCGAAGGCGGCUCACUGGCUCGGUACUGACGCUGAGGUGCGAAAGCGUGGGGAGCAAACAGG